Molecule: ribosomal RNA, 2484 nt
Filed under: Triticum aestivum (bread wheat)
Lineage: Eukaryota; Viridiplantae; Streptophyta; Magnoliopsida; Poales; Poaceae
Description: partial small subunit ribosomal RNA
Source: RNAcentral
AUGGCGCAUCUGCGGCUCCACGGCACCAUCGAUGCUACCAUCGUGGGGGCUGACAACCUCCAUGAUCGCUCGCGCCACACCGGCAAGGUCCCCGGUUUCCUCGGCAAUAUUGUGCAAGGUGUCCAGGAGACGACGGGUUUGGGCAAGGGCCUGCCGCGGAUGUACGCGGCCAUCUUCCUCGGCAGUGCAUGCGUCGCCCGGACGCGUACCAUCGCCGUCCCUGCCGCCGGAAGCGCGCGGUGGAACGAGCCGCUCCGCGCCUACUGCGCCCACCACGCGGCCGACGUCGUCAUCUCCGUCAUGAUCGAGCAGCUCGGCCUCGACGGCGACACCGUCCUCGGCCGCGCCUACCUGCCCGCCCGGGAGCUCCUCAGCGACGACACAACCAUCGACCGCUGGUUCGACGUCCUUGGCACCAACAGGAAGAAGCUCCCGGAUGGGCCCAAGAUACACGUGCAGAUCAGCUUCCGCGACGUCGCCGACCAAGGCCUGGCGUGGGGCGGCGGCGUUGGCGGCGGCGGCAGCUUCGGGGUGCCCCGCACCUUCUUCUCGCAGAGGCCGGGGUGCAGGGUCACCCUGUACCAGGACGCGCACGCGUCCGAGGAGUUCGAGCCCAAGAUCCAGCUCGACGGCGGCGGGCUCUACAAGCCUGGGCACUGCUGGGAGGACCUGUACGACGCCAUCAGCAACGCACGGCACCUGGUGUACAUCACCGGCUGGUCGGUGUUCCCCCACAUCACGCUCCUACGGGAGCGGGACGGCAAGCAGGAAACUCUUGGCGAGCUCCUGAAGCGCAAGGCCGGCGAGGGCGUGCAAGUGCUCAUGCUGGUGUGGAACGACGUCUCCUCCAUCGAUGGCUUGCUCGCCGGCCUCAUGGACACCAGGGACGAGCAGACGGCCAACUACUUCCAGGGCAGCCGCGUGCAGUGCGUCCUCUGCCCGAGGAACAUGUACGUCAGAGGCCACAUCUUCGACGCCAAGACGGACACGUUCGUCUACAGCCACCACCAGAAGGCCAUCGUCGUGGACCAGGAGCUGCCGCCUUUGUCGUCGGGCUCGGACGGCCGCCACCAGAUCGUCAGCUUCCUCGGCGGCCUCGACGUGUGCCAUGGACGCUACGACACGCAGUCCCACUCCCUGUUCAGGACGCUGGGCGCGGGGCAGCCGCACGGCGACGACUUCAGCCAAGUCAACUUCAGCGACGAGGACGCCACGCUCGGCAAGGGCGGGCCCAGGGAGCCAUGGCACGACAUCCACGCCAAGGUCGAGGGCCCCGUCGCGUGGGACGUGCUCCACAACUUCGAGCAGCGCUGGAGGAAGAAAGGCGGCGGCGACAAGGAGCAACUGGUCGACCUCGCAGCCCUCGAGGGCAAGGUCGCGCCGGCCUCGUGGGCGGUCACGCUCCCCGGCGACCAGGAGGCGUGGAAUGUGCAGCUCUUCCGGUCCAUCGACAACAUCGACACCGUGGGCUUCCCCGACUCCAUGGAGGCCGCCUUCAAGGCCGGUCUCCUCCAGGACAAGCACCGGGUGUACGAGAGGAGCAUCCAGGACGCCUACAUCCACGCCAUACGUGCCGCCAAAAGCUUCAUCUACAUCGAGAACCAGUACUUCAUCGGCAGCUCCUUCCAGUGGAAGUCCCACGACGGCAUAGACCCGGGGGACGUCGGGGCGUGCCAGCUGAUCCCCAGAGAGCUCUCGCUCAAGAUCGUGAGGAAGAUCGAGGACGGCGAACGCUUCGCGGUCUACAUCGUGGUGCCCAUGUGGUCCGAAGGCGCCCCUACGGGCCGAUACAGGCAGGCGAUGCUGGACAACCAGAGGAGGACGAUGGCGUUGAUGUACGACGACAUCGCCGUUGCGCUGCAGGCCAAGAGGAUAGACGCCAACCCAAGGGACUACCUUACCUUCUUCUGCUUAGGGAACCGGGAGGCAAGCAACCCGAAGGGCGGCGAGUACCAGCCUCCGCACCGCCCGCAGGACGGGACGGACUAUGCCAGGGCGCAGAUGGCACGCCGGUUCAUGAUCUACGUUCACUCCAAGAUGAUGAUAGUUGAUGACGAGUACAUCAUUGUCGGAUCUGCCAACCUCAACGAGCGGUCCAUGGCGGGGUACAGGGACAGCGAGAUCGCUAUCGGCGCGUACCAGCCGCACCGCAUCACCAGUGGCGCCGAGCUCGCCAAGGGGCACGUCCAUGGCUUCCGGAUGUCGCUCUGGCACGAGCACCUCGGCAAGACGCACGAUGACUUCCUGCGCCCGGGAAGCCUAGAGUGCGUGCAGAGGGUCAACAAGAUGGCCGAUGAGUACUGGAGCCUCUACGUCGGCGACCAGCUGCCGGAAGACCUCCCAGGCCACCUGCUCACCUACCCCGUCUCGGUAGACAAGGCCGGCAAUGUCUCAGCGGUCACGGGAUUUGAAUUCUUCCCUGACACAGAUGCUCGCGUGCUUGGUGAGCCAACGGGAAUAAAAGAUUAUUUUCUGAGCACAUAG